UAGUAUAGUGGCAUAUAGCUGUAGAGUUCUUUCCAGCUUUCCUUACUAUCCUUUGCCCAUAUUUCUGUAGACUUAGUGGGUGGGCCGUUGAGGUUGGUGGCGGCACCCACUAAGGACUAUUCUGUUUUACAGUAAUCCUCACAUCCAGUUGUUGACAACUUUUUUCAGAGCCUUCGACUGCGGCUGCUGCUGUUGCGGAUUCGGACAGAGGCAAGGGAGUUGCGAGUUAGAGUCGUCCCUUUCCUGGCCGUUUGCUAGAGAAGCACCCGUCAGAGAUAGUUUUGGGUUUUGUAUAUACUGUUGGUGUUGUGUUUUGUGUACUCGCUGGAGCGAGAUAUAGUUGUGGAUGUUGUAUGUACAAUGAACCUUUUUUGUUUUAUAUACAUGUGUUUGUUUAGCAGUUCUGGACUUUGGUUGUAGCUCCUUUUUCGUUACAGAUACAGUUAUCGCUUCGUAUACACAGAACAUUUCUCUAUAUACGGCGGGUCUGUUGGCGUGCCCAAAAAAACGUGAUAAUUUGGGGCAUGACAACAGUAAAAAUUUUUAUAAUUAAGCCCCCUAAAAAAAAAUCUAAAACAAACCAGAAGUACAAAAAAAAGGUAAAUUUAUUUGCCAAUUUUAAAAAUGCAAUAUGUUUAUCUAGUGUGCCAUAAAUUUUCUUCAGAGUGAUGCAUUUGCUUUUUCUGGAGUUGUUUAUUGGUCAAAGUGUACUGAGAUCUCUUUAACUAUAUGCUAUUUUCAAUAGUCUCCCAAACUAGGGAUGUCGAUAUGUACGGGUACCCAAAAUUUUAUUCGAAUCCGAAUUCGAACGGAGCAAAUUUAUCCGAUACUAAAUGGGUAUAGUUUUGAAUAUAAAUAUCAAAAAUAAAAAUCCGAUGGAUAUAGAUUCAGGUAUGAAUUUUCACUGUACCCAAACCCGAAUUCGAAUCUGACCAGAAUCUGAAUUUAUUUUACAUUAUAUAUAAUAUGUAUAUAAAAUUUGAUGUUAUAUUUGAAUUUGAAUUUUAAAAAAUUAUAUUUAAUAUAAUAUAUUUUAAAAUAUUGGAAAGAGAAAUAAUUAUUUUUUGUUCGGAUUUUCGGGUUCGAGUUCGGGUUCGGAUUUUGGAUUUUUGGUUGGGUUCGGGUUCGAAUAUGGAUUUUUAAAAUCCGUCGGAUUCAGAUUCGAAUUCGGGUUUCGGGUUUGGAGUCGGGUUUGUGUUUGGGUUUGGGUUUGAGUUUUAAAAAUUUGCCCCGAAUCCAACCUGUUGACAUCUC
RNAcentral lists this long non-coding RNA (1254 nucleotides) under Ananas comosus (pineapple). Its description in RNAcentral is "long non-coding RNA (ACOM_LNC026263)". The record is from RNAcentral. Lineage: Eukaryota; Viridiplantae; Streptophyta; Magnoliopsida; Poales; Bromeliaceae.